RNAcentral lists this unclassified non-coding RNA (240 nucleotides) under soil metagenome. Its description in RNAcentral is "partial contains 5.8S ribosomal RNA, internal transcribed spacer 2, and large subunit ribosomal RNA". The record is from RNAcentral.
AAGACUAUAGACCUGCGGAGUACCUGCGGAGGGAUCAUUAGAAAGAUCGAACAGAAUAUGGACGAUCAAAAUCCAUAUCCACCUUGUGUGCACUCAUUGACCGUUCGCUUUGGCAGGAAAAAAGGAGCCUUCGAUUUCCGGAGGUACACCGAGGCAUCUCUUCUUCUCUCCUUCCCGGGAGGUUUAAAAAAUGGGGGAUGACCUGCCAGAGUUUUUUCUUUCCGAACUUCACGCGUCUCU